Molecule: transfer RNA, 72 nt
Filed under: Heterocephalus glaber (naked mole-rat)
Lineage: Eukaryota; Metazoa; Chordata; Mammalia; Rodentia; Bathyergidae
Rfam family: tRNA
About the family: Transfer RNA (tRNA) molecules are approximately 80 nucleotides in length.
Source: Rfam by way of RNAcentral
GGGGAUGUUGCUCAGCAGCACAGCACCUGCCUGGCAAGCGUGAGGUCCUGAGUUUGAUGCUCGGUACCCCCA